GAAGUAAAAGUCGUAACAAGGUUUCCGUAGGUGAACCUGCGGAAGGAUCAUUAAAUAAUCAAUAAUUUUGGCUUGUCCAUCAUUAUCUAUUUACUGUGAACUGUAUUAUUACUUGACGCUUGAGGGAUGUUCCAAUGCUAUAAGGAUAGGCACUGGAAAUGUUAACCGAGUCAUAAUCAAGCUUAGGCUUGGUAUCCUAUUAUUAUUUACCAAAAGAAUUCAGAAUUAAUAUUGUAACAUAGACGUAAAAAAUCUAUAAAACAACUUUUAACAACGGAUCUCUUGGUUCUCGCAUCGAUGAAGAACGUAGCAAAGUGCGAUAACUAGUGUGAAUUGCAUAUUCAGUGAAUCAUCGAGUCUUUGAACGCAACUUGCGCUCAUUGGUAUUCCAAUGAGCACGCCUGUUUCAGUAUCAAAACAAACCCUCUAUCCAACUUUUGUUGAAUAGGAUGACUGAGAGUCUCUUGAUCUAUUUUGAUCUUGAACCUCUUGAAAUGUACAAAGGCCUGAUCUUGUUUGAAUGCCUGAACUUUUUUUUAAUAUAAAGAGAAGCUCUUGCGAUAAAACUGUGCUGGGGCCUCCCAAAUAACACAUCUUUAAAUUUGAUCUGAAAUCAGGUGGGAUUACCCGCUGAACUUAAGCAUAUCA
RNAcentral lists this ribosomal RNA (648 nucleotides) under Mucor sp. RNAcentral describes it as "eukaryotic LSU rRNA". The stretch from base 263 to 415 matches the Rfam family "5.8S ribosomal RNA". Lineage: Eukaryota; Fungi; Mucoromycota; Mucoromycetes; Mucorales; Mucoraceae. The record is from RNAcentral.